Molecule: long non-coding RNA, 2380 nt
Organism: Betta splendens (Siamese fighting fish)
Lineage: Eukaryota; Metazoa; Chordata; Actinopteri; Anabantiformes; Osphronemidae
Exons: 2
Source: RefSeq, a predicted model, not a curated record
GCGACAGACAAACGGGCGUCACUCUGCUAGAGGGAAAAAAAUACUUCCGGUGAAAAAUCCUUCACCAAAAUAAAAGCAAAAAGCACCAGGAGGGACAAUUUUUGCAUUUAAACUUCACUUUAAACAAAGCAAACACAAAAAGCAAACGGCAAUAUUUAAAUCUGGUGAAUGCAAAAACACUUAAAAUGAAACUGCUGUUUAAUAACUUGGCAAAACCACAAGCUAAAAGGUUUGAGUUGUAACACCUUACCUUUAUUAUGAAAAAUUACACCGAGGAAAACUGUGAUAAAUUUUAGUUUUGUUUGACGACGGUUAAAGAUGCAGGUGCGCAGCUCAGACAGCCCAUACUGUAGAUGCUAAACUGAGCCCACGACACUGCACCGUACCACGAGAUUCCAGUCGGUGACGAUGCGGUCGGCCGUGGCGCUGACGAGGAGUCCGAGGUAGAAGGAGGAGAGGAAGAAGGCCGAGACGGAGACGAACAUCACCCACCCCUGCAGCAGAGGCACGGGCACGUCGGAGGACGCCACCAGGAUCCACACCAAGCCGCCGAAAACCUGCCGGAGAGAGGUGCACGGAUGCUAGUGAGCCCCUGUGUACACACACAUGCCCGUCAACACACUGGGACACACGUCAGGUGUAACAACGUUGUAUUAUGUCCCGCAAGCAGUUGUUUUGUGUAAAGAGAAGCGAGGCUGGAUGCGAUGGGACGCCCGCGUGGCGCCCCGUACAGACACAGGAAGCGCUAACAGCGGCUGAUGGAGCCCGUGACGAUACAGUGGCUCCCCUCAUUUCACGGAUUGUGUUUGCAGCUGAGGGCCUGUGGCCCGUUCAGAGUGAUAAUCAGAGCAGUACGAGUCACCUUGGAGGAUUGAAGGUCACGGAAAGUCAGAAAACACAAGUCAAUGCGCACAUCAUGAGGCCCGAGAACGUCACCGGGCAACGUCGACGGCAGCGCCUCGGUGCCCGGUUAGAGACACGUUAACGUGGAUAGAAGUGUCCUAGAAUUAGUCCGUGGCCCGAGGACCAGAAGGCUAUUAAUUAUUAAUACAGACAUACACAGCACAGGUUACGCGGAGUCCAAGCGGGUCAUUGAAGCCACAAGUCAAUGCCACCCAUAGGAAACACUCACUAUCUCUAAGCAGAUGAGGACCCCGGACGACGUCCUCAGGAUCUCCGGUCCCAUGGGCAGGGAAAUAACCGGCGCUGGGAAGGAGGAGGCAGCGGGGUUGGUGGCUGGUUCCGACAUCUUUCUGCUUCGUCUCGGGUCUCUGCCGCUCCGUCCUCUGCCGCGCAGCCUCUGGCUCGCACCAAACGCGCUCCGUUAAACAAAGAGUCGGAGCAGCGGGCAGAAUUCCUGCGGAGUCAUGUGGCCGCUUCCCCGCGAAACAGGUAGGACAGGUGCACGAGACACUCCCUGGAAGGCGGCGGGGCGUUCACGGACCUCACGGAAGCGCCAGUGUCCGAACAUCACAACAAAAUGCGUCAUGAAACUGAGCUAUUGAUUAAUCUGUGCUUGAAAUGGCAUACUUAGAUAACACUUUGUUAAUAGUUAUGGCAUAUCGUUUUGAUUUUUGGAUUACUGCUGUUUAACCUUUUAUUAGUAAGUUGGUAAUAAACCCUUAUAAAAGACUCGUGUGCCAAUGACUCUGUUAAAGAUCAAAAAGUGCCGGUAGUUGUUAGACACUAUUCAUUUUGGUUUGAAAGGAAACGAGGGUGAAGGGACAUUUCCGCGUGUGGUGACUGACCUUCACAGCACAGGAGAGAGAGAAACAGAUUUAAUAAGUAAAUAUUAUUUUAACAGCUGAGGCACGACAACAAUUUCCAGACAAACGGAGCCCUCAUUUUAAAUGAAAGGCGAAAGUGCUGGAGCGUCAGCAGAGAUUUAAUCAAACGGCGGAGGCGCGUUUCCUGCGUCGUUAAAUGAGUUUUCAGCGGUUUGUUCCUCGCUGUGAGCUACAGUUAAUGUUUACACAGGUUUUGGGUUAAGGGACCAGUGUUGACAUAACCUGUGUGAACGCGCUGGCCUCCGUUCACGUCAGUCUGGAAGGUUAUUAGAAUAAACGUGCUCUACAUUUUCCAUCCCAUUCUGUGAUGGAUCAGAAUCCUGAUCAGAGUCUCUGUUGGACUCGCUUCCAUUCAAGUGUAAUCUGCCAGAAAUGCCUCGUUAUUGCUUCUUACACAUUUGUGCAUUAGUGUUUAGCUGCAAAGUUCUGGAAAAAAGUGUACAGUAACAAUGUUAAUCUGUCCAUUUACGAGUUGUUGAGUCAUUUCUCUACUCAGGCCGGUUACUGUUGACAUUAAAGAACUUAAUAUUUUCUCAAAAUGCUUCAAGAAAAGGAGAAAUUAGUUAAACAAAUAAAGCCCUAGAAACAGAAAA